GGACUGAGACACGCCCAGACUCCACGGGACGCAGCAGUAGGGAUCUUCGGCAAUGGACGGAAGUCUGACCGAGCAACGCCGCGUGAGUGAAGAAGGUUUUCGGAUCGUAAAGCUCUGUUGUAAGAGAAGAACGAGUGUGAGAGUGGAAAGUUCACACUGUGACGGUAUCUUACCAGAAAGGGACGGCUAACUACGUGCCAGCAGCCGCGGUAAUACGUAGGUCCCGAGCGUUGUCCGGAUUUAUUGGGCGUAAAGCGAGCGCAGGCGGUUAGAUAAGUCUGAAGUUAAAGGCUGUGGCUUAACCAUAGUACGCUUUGGAAACUGUUUAACUUGAGUGCAAGAGGGGAGAGUGGAAUUCCAUGUGUAGCGGUGAAAUGCGUAGAUAUAUGGAGGAACACCGGUGGCGAAAGCGGCUCUCUGGCUUGUAACUGACGCUGAGGCUCGAAAGCGUGGGGAGCAAACAGGAUUAGAUAUCCUGGUAGUCCACGCCGUAAACGAUGAGUGCUAGGUGUUAGACCCUUUCCGGGUUUAGUGCCGUA
RNAcentral lists this ribosomal RNA (539 nucleotides) under uncultured Streptococcus sp. Its description in RNAcentral is "bacterial SSU rRNA". It matches the Rfam family "Bacterial small subunit ribosomal RNA", at positions 316 to 850 of the family's 1533-position model. Lineage: Bacteria; Bacillati; Bacillota; Bacilli; Lactobacillales; Streptococcaceae. The record is from RNAcentral.